Molecule: ribosomal RNA, 466 nt
Filed under: uncultured bacterium
Lineage: Bacteria
Description: partial 16S ribosomal RNA
Rfam family: Bacterial small subunit ribosomal RNA
Source: RNAcentral
GACGAACGCUGGCGGCGCGCCUAACACAUGCAAGUCGAACGAGCGAGAGAGAGCUUGCUUUCUUGAGCGAGUGGCGAACGGGUGAGUAACGCGUGAGGAACCUGCCUCAAAGAGGGGGACAACAGUUGGAAACGACUGCUAAUACCGCAUAAGCCCACGACCCGGCAUCGGGUUGAGGGAAAAGGAGCAAUCCGCUUUGAGAUGGCCUCGCGUCCGAUUAGCUAGUUGGUGAGGUAACGGCCCACCAAGGCGACGAUCGGUAGCCGGACUGAGAGGGUGAACGGCCACAUUGGGACUGAGACACGGCCCAGACUCCUACGGGAGGCAGCAGUGGGGAAUAUUGCACAAUGGGGGAAACCCUGAUGCAGCGACGCCGCGUGGAGGAAGAAGGUCUUCGGAUUGUAAACUCCUGUUGUUGAGGAAGAUAAUGACGGUACUCAACAAGGAAGUGACGGCUAACUACGUG